GAACGAGUGUGAGUGUUCGGCUGUUUUGAAUGAUGUGUGUGUGUGUGUGUUUUUUUUUAAUAACCUACACCGUGAUCUUAUUUGAUCCGGUCGGAGUUUCGUCCUGCUCCGACUCGGAGAUGAUAAGAAGCCGCUCGUUAGCCCGCUGUGGCGGUGAGCGUUUGUCGGCCCAAAUCUUCAGGGCGCCCGCAGUAGAAACUGGGGGUAGAAAUGAUGAGUUGAUCAGAUAUACUAGUGCCGCUGGGAUUUUGGGGGCUACUCCCAAACUUCUUUCAUGCGGCCAGUGAGUAUUGAGGCGAUUCUGAUCUUC
Molecule: non-coding RNA, 310 nt
Organism: Colossoma macropomum (tambaqui)
Lineage: Eukaryota; Metazoa; Chordata; Actinopteri; Characiformes; Serrasalmidae
Product: small Cajal body-specific RNA 2
Exons: 1
Source: RefSeq, a predicted model, not a curated record